Drosophila pseudoobscura is the source of this 1731-nucleotide long non-coding RNA. RefSeq lists it as uncharacterized. Lineage: Eukaryota; Metazoa; Arthropoda; Insecta; Diptera; Drosophilidae. The record is from RefSeq and is a predicted model, not a curated record. The transcript has 2 exons.
UUAAAUUAUGAGUCUUAGCACUAACCAUACAGUAUAUAAGUGUGCCAGUUCAUACAGCGAACAUGUCUCAAACGAACUUUCUGGAUUAGAUCCGAGGGUAAUCGGCUCUGGCAUUCGUAUUCAUGGGCCGCCGCAUCAUCAUGGGCCAGCCAGCCCGUUUUGCAUGUGUUUGUUCUCACAAAAACAUGUGAUUGUAUCUUUUUUUUGUUUUUGUUGUUGGCGAGAACAUUACCGUGUGCUUAAGCACGUCUAAUCCAGUUGCUCUAACACCCACGAUAUAGUAUAUAAGCCACUGGAUUCUCACAGAGGUUAUCAGAUCUUUUUGUCGAUGCUCUUUCUUGAUAUCUAGGUAUUGAUGCUCUUAGGACUUUUUGCUUCAGUCCACUUUCUGUAUUACGUCUUGAAACUCCUGAGUAGGACUUCUUAUUCCUCGUUGAUAAUUCUUCCAUCGCUUGCUUGGCGAUCUUAAAGAAUUCCUUGGGGUUUUUAAUUUGGAGAGAUAUGUAGGUCCCGGAUCAAUCAGAGUGUGUUUAUCUUAUUUUUUGAUCUCGUGGGUGAAGAAGAUGCGUGGUAAGCGUCCUGUAUUUUUUUUGGAUAGAGUCUCUAGGGAAGUCUAUAUAUCUUUCGUGUAUUCGUCGUCUUCGCCUGACAGGCUGCCAAAUAUGGCCCGCGUUGCCGCUUUCUCGCUUGAGAAUCUUUUGCAGCACUCUCGGUCGAGACUUUCCUUUUGGUGGCCAGCAUUUCCGCUACCUUAUUGGCGGAUCUGCCGUUUAUUUUAUUUAUUUAUUUAAGUCAAGUCUAAGGCUAAGUCGACGAUGGCGUCCGUGCUGCCUAACUUGCAAUCAAAAAUUUUCAUUUUAGUAUAUUAGGUAGAUUAGAUUUGUGGUGAAAGGGGAUGUGUGUAAAACCCAGAAGGAAGCGUUUCCAACCCCGUAAAGUAUAUAUAUUCUUGACCAGCAUCAAGAUAUAGCAACGUCUGCCUGUCCGCCUGCCCGGCCGUCCAUCCCGAUGACCAUUAGAUCUCAGGACUACAAGAGCAACCAAAUUUUAUAUCCAGACUCCUGUCAUUCUAAACUAUUAUACGUGUAUAUAAGAGAAAACAAAGAACGUGGAAUCGUAAAGAACAACCUUAUCUACCAUAUUGGGCUUUUGCAAGAAAUUAGAAAAUUGGUGCCUGCGGCACUCUUCUUUUAACAGAAAAAUAAAUCAAGUCGUUGUUUCUUUGGAUCUGUGGGCCAAUAUGUAGGCUUAAUCGGGGAAAAAAAGUAUAGCUUGUGGGAUCAUGAUGUGAUUAUAGCAUAAUAUAGUGUAACGAACCUAAAAAGGUUCGAUACAAUCCUUCCACCGAAGUAUUAUAUGCAUAAAACCGGCUACUAAAUUACAGCGCCCCGCCAAACGUAAAUUGAUUGCAUGUAUUAUAUACCACACGAACACCGCCCUUCCACACAUAACUACUCGACACCCGACGAACGCCAACACCAGAAGCGAAACCGGGUCAAACCUCAAUCGCCAAACUGGCAAAAAGCAAGCCCUAAGCGGAAAUGCAUUUUCGUGACCUCCGCUGACACAGCAACGACAGGCAUAUAUAUAGGUGCCAGCCAGAACCAGAAGAGCGGCUUGCGCAGAAACCCGGCCUCGAGUGCAGACGUUGUACAAAAAACCAUCGUACUAAUCUAUGAAUUAAAAAGUGCUGAAAUAUCCGUAAUAAAGUGGCUAAUGAUCAGAACAAUA